AGGAUGAACGUUGGCGGCGUGCCUAAUACAUGCAAGUCGAGCGGUAACACGUUAUGGUGACGAGCGGCGGACGGCUGAGUAACACGUAGGAAUCUACCCCAGACUGAGGGAUAAGCACCGGAAACGGUGUCUAAUACCGCAUACGCUCUAAGGAGUAAAGCUUCGGCGGUUUGGGAAGAGCCUGCGCAUGAUUAGCUUGUUGGUAAGGUAAUGGCUUACCAAGGCGACGAUCAUUAGCUGGUCUGAGAGGAUGAUCAGCCAGACUGGGACUGAGACACGGCCCAGACUCCGUACGGGAGGCAGCAGGUAGGGUAAUUUCCACAAGUGGGACGAAAGCCUGAUGGAGCAACGCCGCGUGCGAGGAUGAAGGUCGUUUACGGGUCGUAAACGUGUACUUUUAAGUAUGACGUAAGAUUAAUGGACGUAG
Molecule: ribosomal RNA, 427 nt
Filed under: uncultured soil bacterium
Lineage: Bacteria
Description: bacterial SSU rRNA
Rfam family: Bacterial small subunit ribosomal RNA
Source: RNAcentral